RNAcentral lists this ribosomal RNA (888 nucleotides) under uncultured bacterium. Its description in RNAcentral is "bacterial SSU rRNA". It matches the Rfam family "Bacterial small subunit ribosomal RNA", at positions 544 to 1431 of the family's 1533-position model. The record is from RNAcentral.
UCCGGAAUUACUGGGCGUAAAGAGNUCGUAGGUGGUUUGUUGCGUNGUCUGUGAAAUUCCGGGGCUUAANUUCGGGGUGGCAGGCGAUACGGGCAUAACUAGAGUGCUGUAGGGGAGACUGGAAUUCCUGUGUAGCGGUGGAAUGCGCAGAUAUCAGGAGGAACACCGAUGGCGAAGGCAGGUCUCUGGGCAGUAACUGACGCUGAGGAGCGAAAGCAUGGGGAGCGAACAGGAUUAGAUACCCUGGUAGUCCAUGCUGUAAACGGUGGGCGUUAGGUGUGGGGACCGGUUUGGUUUCUGUGCCGUAGCUAACGCAUUAAGCGCCCCGCCUGGGGAGUACGGCCGCAAGGCUAAAACUCAAAGGAAUUGACGGGGGCCCGCACAAGCGGCGGAGCAUGUGGAUUAAUUCGAUGCAACGCGAAGAACCUUACCUGGGUUUGACAUGCACCAGACGGUUGUAGAGAUACGUACCUCCCUUUGUGGUUGGUGUGCAGGUGGUGCAUGGUUGUCGUCAGCUCGUGUCGUGAGAUGUUGGGUUAAGUCCCGCAACGAGCGCAACCCUUGUCUUAUGUUGCCAGCACUUUGGGUGGGGACUCAUGAGAGACUGCCGGGGUUAACUCGGAGGAAGGUGGGGAUGACGUCAAAUCAUCAUGCCCUUUAUGCCCAGGGCUUCACACAUGCUACAAUGGUUAGUACAACGCGCUGCGAGCCUGUGAGGGUGAGCGAAUCGCUGAAAGCUAAUCUCAGUUCGGAUUGGGGUCUGCAACUCGACCCCAUGAAGUCGGAGUCGCUAGUAAUCGCAGAUCAGCAAUGCUGCGGUGAAUACGUUCCCGGGCCUUGUACACACCGCCCGUCACGUCAUGAAAGUUGGUAACACCCGAAGCCCAU